Molecule: ribosomal RNA, 229 nt
Filed under: uncultured bacterium
Lineage: Bacteria
Description: partial 16S ribosomal RNA
Rfam family: Bacterial small subunit ribosomal RNA
Source: RNAcentral
UGCGCAGGCGGAAUGGUAAGUCAGUGGUGAAAUCCUACAGCUUAACUGUAGAACUGCCAUUGAUACUGUCAUUCUUGAGUACAUAUGAAGUGGGCGGAAUGUGUCAUGUAGCGGUGAAAUGCAUAGAUAUGACACAGAACACCGAUAGCGAAGGCAGCUCACUAAAUUGUAACUGACGCUCAUGCACGAAAGCGUGGGGAGUAAACAGGAUUAGAUACCCUGGUAGUCC